Molecule: ribosomal RNA, 860 nt
Filed under: Salinivibrio sp.
Lineage: Bacteria; Pseudomonadati; Pseudomonadota; Gammaproteobacteria; Vibrionales; Vibrionaceae
Description: bacterial SSU rRNA
Rfam family: Bacterial small subunit ribosomal RNA
Source: RNAcentral
UUGUUAAGUCAGAUGUGAAAGCCCGGGGCUCAACCUCGGAACCGCAUUUGAAACUGGCAGGCUAGAGUCUUGUAGAGGGGGGUAGAAUUUCAGGUGUAGCGGUGAAAUGCGUAGAGAUCUGAAGGAAUACCAGUGGCGAAGGCGGCCCCCUGGACAAAGACUGACGCUCAGAUGCGAAAGCGUGGGUAGCAAACAGGAUUAGAUACCCUGGUAGUCCACGCCGUAAACGCUGUCUACUUGGAGGUUGAGGUUUUAGACUUUGGCUUUCGGCGCUAACGCAUUAAGUAGACCGCCUGGGGAGUACGGCCGCAAGGUUAAAACUCAAAUGAAUUGACGGGGGCCCGCACAAGCGGUGGAGCAUGUGGUUUAAUUCGAUGCAACGCGAAGAACCUUACCUACUCUUGACAUCCAGCGAAGCCUUUAGAGAUAGAGGUGUGCCUUCGGGAGCGCUGAGACAGGUGCUGCAUGGCUGUCGUCAGCUCGUGUUGUGAAAUGUUGGGUUAAGUCCCGCAACGAGCGCAACCCUUAUCCUUGUUUGCCAGCACGUAAUGGUGGGAACUCCAGGGAGACUGCCGGUGAUAAACCGGAGGAAGGUGGGGACGACGUCAAGUCAUCAUGGCCCUUACGAGUAGGGCUACACACGUGCUACAAUGGCAGAUACAGAGGGCAGCGAGACAGCGAUGUUUAGCGAAUCCCUUAAAGUUUGUCGUAGUCCGGAUUGGAGUCUGCAACUCGACUCCAUGAAGUCGGAAUCGCUAGUAAUCGUGGAUCAGAAUGCCACGGUGAAUACGUUCCCGGGCCUUGUACACACCGCCCGUCACACCAUGGGAGUGGGCUGCACCAGAAGUAGAUAGCUUAAC